This 900-nucleotide long non-coding RNA is filed under the name Capsella rubella. RNAcentral describes it as "long non-coding RNA (CRUB_LNC002279)". The record is from RNAcentral. Lineage: Eukaryota; Viridiplantae; Streptophyta; Magnoliopsida; Brassicales; Brassicaceae.
AGUGAGUUAUAUGCAGUUUGGUGAGACGCGUUUUCUCUGUUGCGAACUGGGAUCAGCGGAGUUUGUAAGUGCGAUCGUGGAUUGAUCGUUUCUCCGAUCGGCACCAAAUUUUGUAGGGGGCUUCGUGACGUCUGGAUCUUGCUUUUCACCGUAGGGAUUAAGAAGUUAACGGUUAGUUUAUGUUUUAGGGCUUCGUUUUUGCGGCUGUAGUUUUUUUGAUGUUUCUGUCCUUUUGGUUCUUAGAGAUUUGUGUUUGUGUGGUUUGUUGUAGGGCGUUGUUUGGCUGUUGCAGUCACGAAGAGAGUAUUUCCUGGUUGUUUUUGUAACUCAAAUCACCUUGUUAAGGUGAGUGCGUGACCAUGAGCUUAUCUAAGCGAUUGGGAUUGAGUGACUUGUUGUGUGAUGAUUUGUAGGUGAACUGGAUGUGUUAUUGGAUGUUUAGCUUGCUGGAUGGUUUGUUUUUGUUAUAUAUGUGGGUGUUAUCUCAUUGCUUGUGUGUAUAGCUCGUAGAUGGGAGGAUCGCCCUCACUAAGUAUUUAUGAAAUACUUAUGCAUCUCUUUCUUUGAUGCAGGUAAAAGCAAAGUGUGAUCCGUGGAAUCAUGGCGAGGAGAGGAGGAUGAUCUAGGCACUCAUUGGUGUUUUAGAUUAUUGUUGGAUUUGUUAGGGUGUUAGAAUGGAAUUUAGAAACAUGUUAGGAGGAUCAUGUUUUGGAAUAAUGUUUGGUUGAACUUGUUGGUUUAAUAGAAUCGUAUUAUUGGAUUUUUGGUUAAGUCUUCCGCUGGAUAAUAUUGUUGGUUUACUUUAAUGAGAUUGCUUGGUUUAAUUGAUUUAAAUUAUUAUGGCCGGUUUAGCUGGUUCGAAUUAAUUGGGUUAAUCCGGUUUGCAUGUUUAAAAGAAAA